AAAAAAAAAGAAAUCAGUAUUAGAAACAAAUAGUUUCAGAGUGAUUCUCGAAUUAUCUUUGUGUGAUUUGUUGUAUUGAAAUUUUCCCACAAUAGAAACAAUAUACUUAAACAUUCUUUGGUGUAUCCGGUGUACAUAAAAAAAAAAUGUUUUGAUCAUUAAAAUACUUUAAUAAACAUAUAAUUUAUUUUUAGCACUUUUCAGCACUUAAGAAUUAAAUUUUUUCCAGGCUUUUCCGUUGAUAGAACAAAAUUUGUUUACAAAUUAGUUGGCAGCAGUGAUCUUUUCAUAAGGAGUCCUUGACGUUAUGUUUUAUUUUGAACAUUUAUUUCAAAAUCUGUUGCCAAACUUCCUCUUUUUAGCAGCUUACCGUUAUUCUAUAGCUUAGAACUUUCUAUAUAAAUAUACCCAGUGGUGUAGCAACCAUGGCGCGAAGAGUAAAAUUGCACCAUGACCCAUGACCUUUAGAGGUCCUUCAAAGAAAAAGAAAAAUUGUGUACAAGUUUAAAUGUAUCAGAUUUGUAUCAUGUACUAUUUUGUAGCUGCUGCUCAUGAGUAGCUCACUAGUGUUUGAAAAAAAAGGUUAUUACCCGCACUGGACUUCAUUUCUGUUAAUGUUCUAUUGCAGUAGGGCUCUAUUUGGUAUAAGUUACACUUGAACUACGGAUAAAAUGAGAAAGGGUGGGGCAUCAUCAUAUUCUCGAACCGAGGGC
Non-coding RNA from Biomphalaria pfeifferi, 713 nucleotides. The record is from the annotation of a GenBank genome assembly. Lineage: Eukaryota; Metazoa; Mollusca; Gastropoda; Planorbidae.